RNAcentral lists this ribosomal RNA (254 nucleotides) under uncultured bacterium. RNAcentral's name for it is "partial 16S ribosomal RNA". It matches the Rfam family "Bacterial small subunit ribosomal RNA", at positions 524 to 776 of the family's 1533-position model. The record is from RNAcentral.
UCCGUAGGGGUCUAGCGUUGUCCGGAAUUAUUGGGCGUAAAGAGCUCGUAGGCGGUGUGUCGCGUCGGUCGUGAAAACUUGGGGCUUAACUCUGAGCUUGCGGUCGAUACGGGCAUCACUUGAGUUCGGCAGGGGAGACUGGAAUUCCUGGUGUAGCGGUGAAAUGCGCAGAUAUCAGGAGGAACACCGGUGGCGAAGGCGGGUCUCUGGGCCGAUACUGACGCUGAGGAGCGAAAGCGUGGGGAGCGAACAGG